UGGCGAAUGCCGGUGGAACUACAGCCUCCAACGCUCGUGGUCGCGGGUUCGAUUCCCGCCGGUCCCAAUACUGGGGGACCGUAGCUCAGUGGAUAGAGCACGAAAACGUUUCACCACCCCUUGUCGCCA
RNAcentral lists this Y RNA (129 nucleotides) under uncultured Aquabacterium sp. RNAcentral's name for it is "Y RNA-like". It matches the Rfam family "Y RNA-like". Rfam says of the family: In Deinococcus radiodurans Rsr is tethered via Y RNA to the exoribonuclease PNPase and channels single-stranded RNA into the PNPase cavity. Rsr and Y RNA enhance degradation of structured RNAs by PNPase. Lineage: Bacteria; Pseudomonadati; Pseudomonadota; Betaproteobacteria; Burkholderiales; Sphaerotilaceae. The record is from RNAcentral.